CCUACGGGUGGCAGCAGUGAGGAAUAUUGGUCAAUGGGCGCGAGCCUGAACCAGCCAAGUCGCGUGAGGGAUGACGGUCCUACGGAUUGUAAACCUCUUUUGCCGGGGAGCAAGCGUGCGUUCGUGAACGCGCGUCGAGAGUACCCGGAGAAAAAGCAUCGGCUAACUCCGUGCCAGCAGCCGCGGUAAUACGGAGGAUGCGAGCGUUAUCCGGAAUGAUUGGGCGUAAAGGGUGCGUAGGCGGCCUGCUAAGUCUGGAGUGAAAGGUACCGGCUCAACCGGUACAGGCUCUGGAAACUGGCGGGCUAGAGAGCAGGAGAGGGCGGUGGAACUCCAUGUGUAGCGGUAAAAUGCGUAGAUAUAUGGAAGAACAUCAGUGGCGAAGGCGGCCGCCUGGCCUGUUAACUGACGCUGAGGCACGAAAGCGUGGGGAGCAAAUAGGAUUAGAACCCUAGUAGUC
This 460-nucleotide ribosomal RNA is filed under the name uncultured bacterium. RNAcentral's name for it is "partial 16S ribosomal RNA". It matches the Rfam family "Bacterial small subunit ribosomal RNA", at positions 338 to 795 of the family's 1533-position model. The record is from RNAcentral.